Non-coding RNA from Pelobates cultripes (western spadefoot toad), 224 nucleotides. The record is from the annotation of a GenBank genome assembly. NCBI's taxonomy places the organism in Eukaryota, Metazoa, Chordata, Amphibia, Anura, Pelobatidae.
CAUCUGGCUGCCAUAUUUUGGUCUGGGGAGAUUUUCAGUUCAGUUUGCAGGUGGCUGAGAAUGUGUACAAAGUGUCAGUGGGAUUUGGCUGUAAUGACUAUACUGUUGAUGCAGGUGGGACAAGAUGCAUUUGAGUAGACAGUUCAAACUGUUGUCUUGAUAGUACAUCAUGCUGUUUUUUCUGGAAAGUAUCCCACCAUAGCUGCUUUUACAGGGAAGGACAG